UUGCAAACAUUUAUUUCUUGAUUUAACCCACCACCACUAUGACCACCGACAUCUAAUCACUAAAAAUUGGGUAAAUGACUAUCUUACUUGUUUUUAUCAAUCUUUCUUAGAUCUAUGUAUAUAGCUCACAUUUAUUUCAGUGUUUACUAUUAGAAGUGUUUUGGGUCUUUAUUUAGAAAUUUGGUGAUGCUUUUGUUUUCAUUUUGAGAUGGAGUCUUGCUCUGUCUCCUGAGCUGGAGUGCAGUGGCGCGAUCUCCACUCACUGCAGCCUCCACCUCCCAGGAGAAUCACUUGAACCCAGGAGGCAGAGGUUGCAGUGAGCCGAGAUCAUGCCAUUGCACUCCAGUCUCAUGCCAUUGCACUCCAGGGCGACAAGAGCGAAACUCUGUCUCAAAAAAAAAAAAAAUUGUUACGUUUUAAGAAGCACGAGUGUCAAUUAUCUAAGGGUAAAUUAGGUAUGAUUCAGAGGAUAACAG
This 476-nucleotide small RNA is filed under the name Pan troglodytes (chimpanzee). RNAcentral's name for it is "sense intronic". The record is from RNAcentral. Lineage: Eukaryota; Metazoa; Chordata; Mammalia; Primates; Hominidae.